GAUGAACGCUGGCGGCGUGCCUAAUACAUGCAAGUCGAGCGAACAGACGAGGAGCUUGCUCCUCUGACGUUAGCGGCGGGCGGGUGAGUAACACGUGGAUAACCUACCUAUAAGACUGGGAUAACUUCGGGAAACCGGAGCUAAUACCGGAUAAUAUAUUGAACCGCAUGGUUCAAUAGUGAAAGACGGUUUUGCUGUCACUUAUAGAUGUAUCCGCGCCGCAUUAGCUAGUUGGUAAGGUAACGGCUUACCAAGGCAACGAUGCGUAGCCGACCUGAGAGGGUGAUCGGCCACACUGGAACUGAGACACGGUCCAGACUCCUACGGGAGGCAGCAGUAGGGAAUCUUCCGCAAUGGGCGAAAGCCUGACGGAGCAACGCCGCGUGAGUGAUGAAGGUCUUCGGAUCGUAAAACUCUGUUAUCAGGGAAGAAAAAAUGUGUAAGUAACUAUGCACGUCUUGACGGUACCUAAUCAGAAAGCCACGGCUAACUACGUG
Molecule: ribosomal RNA, 497 nt
Filed under: uncultured bacterium
Lineage: Bacteria
Description: partial 16S ribosomal RNA
Rfam family: Bacterial small subunit ribosomal RNA
Source: RNAcentral